Molecule: long non-coding RNA, 2057 nt
Filed under: Theobroma cacao (cacao)
Lineage: Eukaryota; Viridiplantae; Streptophyta; Magnoliopsida; Malvales; Malvaceae
Description: long non-coding RNA (TCAC_LNC000033)
Source: RNAcentral
UUCGAAAAUAUCUUGAAACCCAAGCCAAUAAAAACAUAUUAGGUCUAGGAAGCAAGCUUAUUCAUUCCUCUUUUCUUCAUGAUUAUCUUUCAAGUUAAGAAAGCUUUCACAAGCUUAUUUUUCUACUUGUCAACAUGCACAAAAGCUAUUUAAAAAAAAAAAUUUGCUACAAAUCGAUACUAACAGCAAUAGCCAUUUAAGUUGGAAAGUAAGAAAAAAAAAAGAGAAUCCAAACAAACUUAAGUAGUUCAUUCUAGCAGGAAACUGAAGACCUUUUGCAACAGCAAUGGACAGGUUUGAAAGUAACUUUCCCACAACCUGCUUUUAUCCUGCAAUAAAUUAAAAAUCGAGGGACAAAAUACUAGUAAAAGAAAAGUAGAAUGAGGGAAAAAAUAGAGGCUUUUGGCGGGAGGAGAUGCCUGAGGAAUGAGGAUGAUUUUGAACCUUUUGCCAAUUCUUGGGUGAGAAGGCAGGCUACAAUAUUCUGACCAGCAACCAAUAUUGAACUCCAAAGAAAUCCUGACAAUAGAACACACACCCGCAGCAAAACUAAUUGAAAGAUCAAAACAACCCCAACUCUCACCUCACUAAAGGAAAAGAGAACCAAAAAAAACUGGAUUUGAAGAUGCUAUUUCUAGCUUGAUACAGUCUUCAAAAUCAUGGCAAAUAUAUAAAUAUAUAACAAUUUUAAAUCUUACUUGAAUAUAUUCUCACCUGCUUAUUUAAAUGUCAAAAAAGUAGUAUCUGUACCUUAAGCUUGGACGUUUUUUCUUGUUAACCUUUCUAAUCAAGUAGCUUACUCAAAUUAAGACAUGGUAACUAGCGGGAAUUGCCAGGAGAACCUGAUUAUGGUUUUUCUGGAAAAAUCUUUCAUCAAGGUGCUUCAGAACAGAACUCAAUCCAAACCCAGAUAAGGAAAAAUCUAUGGGAAGCUAUCAAAUGUAACUACCAUACUAGUUAGAAGAAUUGUUAGAGAUCAACAAAAUGAAGGAAAUCAAAACAAGACUAAUAAGUGAACUCUAUCAAAUAUAACAACCCAUACUAGUUAGAAGAAUUGUUAAAGAACACAAUGAAGGAAAUCAAAGCAAGACCAAUAAGUGAGCUCUCAUAGACUAGGUGUUACAACUCUACACAAAAAAAAAAAAAAAACUGCAGAUAAAUCAAUGGUGCAAUCAACUUUUAUGCAGGGGUCACAGCAAUAUUCUGUUCAUCAUUCCAGCUUUUUCUCAAAGGACAUGCAGUCCUAAGUAAUUAUAACUAGGGUGAUAUUCAGAUACAGUUUGCCAAUCAAAGAGUAAAAACAUCUGAUGGGUCUCUAUGGCAGUAUAAGACAUGUACUUUCCACCUUGAGCUUUGAAAUUGAAAAUGUUCUGGCUACCAUAUAAUUUAGAUAGCAAAGAACUGUUGUACUUGUCAUAAUCAUAAAGGCACCAUGCAAAUGCAUCAAACCCAGACCAUUUCUUUUGGACACAAUAAUUGCAUGCAUUUACCAUUGGGCAUCAAAUUCUUUGCAGGUGUACCAAAAAAGGGGAAAGAGUGAUAAAAAAAACAAAAAUAUAAGCAAAAAUGUAUAAAAUUCUAGCACGUCUGUAUCAAUUAAAAUGCUAAAAAGUUGUAUUGGGUGAUUUUCAAACAAGCAACCACCCUUAGACAGGACUAUAAUUUGCAGGACCAAGCAAAUUAUGUUAAAUCUUACCAAAUUGUAACAGAACUCAGCAACCCAAAAGAACUGCAACAUAUGGAGCAUUAACUGGUCAGCAAAUCCAUAAACAAAGAAAGAAAAAGCAGAAAAGGGAAGCCAUUGAAGCAGAUGUUCACUCCUUUUGUCAAUGGAAGAUGAAAAUCAGCAGGAAAAAAUUUGGUUAAAAAAAUCAGGAAAAAAAUUUGCGAUCUAUCUCUCGAUUUGUGCGUGUCAUCCGCCCACGACGGCGGUUGGAUUUUUCUACUUUAAGAGCCAAACAUAAGCAAAGCUAAGCAAUGUGGGAGUUUUCCGCUUUCGACACAUGCUGUUGACCAUUUGGCAUCACCUUGUUGACUCGCGAAUCGGUAGAGACUCA